UGGGGAAUAUUGGACAAUGGAGGCAACUCUGAUCCAGCAAUUCUGUGUGUGUGAAGAAGGUUUUAGGACUGUAAAACACUUUUAGUAGGGAAGAAAAAAAUGACGGUACCUACAGAAGAAGCGACGGCUAAAUACGUGCCAGCAGCCGCGGUAAUACGUAUGUCGCGAGCGUUAUCCGGAAUUAUUGGGCUUAAAGGGCAUCUAGGCGGUUAAACAAGUUGAAGGUGAAAACCUGUGGCUCAACCAUAGGCUUGCCUACAAAACUGUAUAACUAGAGUACUGGAAAGGUGGGUGGAACUACACGAGUAGAGGUGAAAUUCGUAGAUAUGUGUAGGAAUGCCGAUGAUGAAGAUAACUCACUGGACAGAAACUGACGCUGAAGUGCGAAAGCUAGGGGAGCAAAUAGG
Molecule: ribosomal RNA, 407 nt
Filed under: Verrucomicrobiota bacterium
Lineage: Bacteria; Pseudomonadati; Verrucomicrobiota
Description: Verrucomicrobia bacterium partial 16S ribosomal RNA
Rfam family: Bacterial small subunit ribosomal RNA
Source: RNAcentral